UACGGGGGGGGCAAGCGUUGUUCGGAAUUACUGGGCGUAAAGGGCUCGUAGGCGGCCAACUAAGUCAGACGUGAAAUCCCCAGGCUCAACCUGGGAACUGCGUCUGAUACUGGAUGGCUUGAAUUCGGGAGAGGGAUGCAGAAUUCCAGGUGUAGCGGUGAAAUGCGUAGAUAUUGGGAGGAACACCAGUGGCGAAGGCGGCUCACUGGACCGGAACUGACGCUGAGGCGCGAAAGCGUGGGGAGCAAACAGG
This 253-nucleotide ribosomal RNA is filed under the name uncultured bacterium. RNAcentral's name for it is "partial 16S ribosomal RNA". It matches the Rfam family "Bacterial small subunit ribosomal RNA", at positions 524 to 776 of the family's 1533-position model. The record is from RNAcentral.